This 76-nucleotide transfer RNA is filed under the name Sphingomonas sp. RNAcentral describes it as "tRNA-OTHER". It matches the Rfam family "tRNA". Rfam says of the family: Transfer RNA (tRNA) molecules are approximately 80 nucleotides in length. The record is from RNAcentral. Lineage: Bacteria; Pseudomonadati; Pseudomonadota; Alphaproteobacteria; Sphingomonadales; Sphingomonadaceae.
GUCGGCGUGACGGAAUUGGUAAACGUAUCGCUACAGCGGUCCCGAAAGGGUGCAGGUUCGAUCCCUGCCGCCGGCC